GACGAACGCUGGCGGCGUGCUUAACACAUGCAAGUCGAACGGAAAGGCCCUGCUUUUUUGGGGUGCUCGAGUGGCGAACGGGUGAGUAACACGUGAGUAACCUGCCCUUGACUUUGGGAUAACUUCAGGAAACUGGGGCUACUACCGGAUAGGAGCUCCUGCUGCAUGGUGGGGGUUGGAAAGUUUCGGCGGUUGGGGAUGGACUUGCGGCUUAUCAGCUUGUUGGUGGGGUAGUGGCUUACCAAGGCUUUUACGGGUAGCCGGCCUGAGAGGGUGACCGGCCCCAUUGGGAAUGAGAUACGGCCCAGACUCCUACGGGAGGCAGCAGUGGGGAAUAUUGCACAAUGGGCGGAAGCCUGAUGCAGCAACGCAGCGUGCGGGAUGAAGGCCUUCGGGUUGUAAACCGCUUUCGCCUGUGACGAAGAGUGAGUGACGGUAAUGGGUAAAGAAGCACCGGCUAACUACGUG
Molecule: ribosomal RNA, 468 nt
Filed under: uncultured bacterium
Lineage: Bacteria
Description: partial 16S ribosomal RNA
Rfam family: Bacterial small subunit ribosomal RNA
Source: RNAcentral